CUGGAACGCGCCCCAGGCGCACCCAGAAACCCUUUGUGAACUUAUACCUUACUGUUGCCUCGGCGCAUGCCGGCCCCCCCGGGGGCCCCUCGGAGACGAGGAGCAGGCACGCCGGCGGCCAAGUUAACUCUUGUUUUUACACUGAAACUCUGAGAAAAAAACACAAAUGAAUCAAAACUUUCAACAACGGAUCUCUUGGUUCUGGCAUCGAUGAAGAACGCAGCGAAAUGCGAUAAGUAAUGUGAAUUGCAGAAUUCAGUGAAUCAUCGAAUCUUUGAACGCACAUUGCGCCCUCUGGUAUUCCGGAGGGCAUGCCUGUUCGAGCGUCAUUUCAACCCUCAAGCAUUGCUUGGUGUUGGGGCACUGCUUUUACCCAAAAGCAGGCCCUGAAAUCUAGUGGCGAGCUCGCCAGGACCCCGAGCGCAGUAGUUAAACCCUCGCUCUGGAAGGCCCUGGCGGUGCCCUGCCGUUAAACCCCCAACUUCUGAAAAU
Molecule: ribosomal RNA, 492 nt
Filed under: Diaporthe sp. Lc003
Lineage: Eukaryota; Fungi; Ascomycota; Sordariomycetes; Diaporthales; Diaporthaceae
Also listed under: 1 other name
Description: eukaryotic LSU rRNA
Rfam family: 5.8S ribosomal RNA (bases 176-329)
Source: RNAcentral